RNAcentral lists this ribosomal RNA (254 nucleotides) under uncultured bacterium. RNAcentral's name for it is "partial 16S ribosomal RNA". It matches the Rfam family "Bacterial small subunit ribosomal RNA", at positions 524 to 776 of the family's 1533-position model. The record is from RNAcentral.
UACGUAGGGUGCGAGCGUUGUCCGGAAUUAUUGGGCGUAAAGAGCUCGUAGGCGGUUUGUCGCGUCUGCUGUGAAAAACCCGAGGCUCAACCUCGGGCCUGCAGUGGGUACGGGCAGACUAGAGUGCGGUAGGGGAGAUUGGAAUUCCUGGUGUAGCGGUGGAAUGCGCAGAUAUCAGGAGGAACACCAAUGGCGAAGGCAGAUCUCUGGGCCGUAACUGACGCUGAGGAGCGAAAGCAUGGGGAGCGAACAGG